CCUACGGGUGGCAGCAGUGAGGAAUAUUGGUCAAUGGACGAGAGUCUGAACCAGCCAAGUAGCGUGAAGGAUGACUGCCCUAUGGGUUGUAAACUUCUUUUAUAAAGGAAUAAAACGAGGCACGUGUGCCUUUUUGCAUGUACUUUAUGAAUAAGGAUCGGCUAACUCCGUGCCAGCAGCCGCGGUAAUACGGAGGAUCCGAGGGUUAUCCGGAUUUAUUGGGUUUAAAGGGAGCGUAGAUGGGUUGUUAAGUAAGUUGUGAAAGUUUGCGGAUCAACCGUAAAAUUGCAAUUGAUACUGGCAGUCUUGAGUACAGUUGAGGUAGGCGGAAUUCGUGGUGUAGCGGUGAAAUGCUUAGAUAUCACGAAGAACCCCGAUUGCGAAGGCAGCAUACCGGCGCCCUACUGACGCUGAGGCACGAAAGUGCGGGUAUCGAACAGGAUUAGAUACCCUAGUAGUC
Molecule: ribosomal RNA, 460 nt
Filed under: uncultured bacterium
Lineage: Bacteria
Description: partial 16S ribosomal RNA
Rfam family: Bacterial small subunit ribosomal RNA
Source: RNAcentral